CUGGUUGAUAGGUCGAAGGUGUAAGUGCAGCAAUGUAUUUAGCUUAUCGAUACUAAUAGGUCGAGGACUUGACCAA
Molecule: ribosomal RNA, 76 nt
Filed under: Clostridioides difficile
Lineage: Bacteria; Bacillati; Bacillota; Clostridia; Peptostreptococcales; Peptostreptococcaceae
Description: partial 23S ribosomal RNA
Rfam family: Bacterial large subunit ribosomal RNA
Source: RNAcentral